AUUGAACGCUGGCGGCAGGCCUAACACAUGCAAGUCGAGCGGAUGAAGGGAGCUUGCUCCUGGAUUCAGCGGCGGACGGGUGAGUAAUGCCUAGGAAUCUGCCUAGUAGUGGGGGAUAACGUCCGGAGACGGGCGCUAAUACCGCAUACGUCCUGAGGGAGAAAGUGGGGGAUCUUCGGACCUCACGCUAUCAGAUGAGCCUAGGUCGGAUUAGCUAGUUGGUGGGGUAAAGGCCUACCAAGGCGACGAUCCGUAACUGGUCUGAGAGGAUGAUCAGUCACACUGGAACUGAGACACGGUCCAGACUCCUACGGGAGGCAGCAGUGGGGAAUAUUGGACAAUGGGCGAAAGCCUGAUCCAGCCAUGCCGCGUGUGUGAAGAAGGUCUUCGGAUUGUAAAGCACUUUAAGUUGGGAGGAAGGGCAGUAAGUUAAUACCUUGCUGUUUUGACGUUACCAACAGAAUAAGCACCGGCUAACUUCGUG
RNAcentral lists this ribosomal RNA (484 nucleotides) under uncultured bacterium. RNAcentral's name for it is "partial 16S ribosomal RNA". It matches the Rfam family "Bacterial small subunit ribosomal RNA", at positions 30 to 507 of the family's 1533-position model. The record is from RNAcentral.